This 93-nucleotide small nucleolar RNA is filed under the name Parastagonospora nodorum SN15. RNAcentral's name for it is "Phaeosphaeria nodorum SN15 A. fumigatus snoRNA Afu_455". It matches the Rfam family "A. fumigatus snoRNA Afu_455". The record is from Rfam by way of RNAcentral. Lineage: Eukaryota; Fungi; Ascomycota; Dothideomycetes; Pleosporales; Phaeosphaeriaceae.
CAGAGUGAUGAUAUUAUGACAUCGGAAAGGCAUUCCUCGACCUGAAUAUAUAAUGUCGAUUCUGUCUAAACUUAGUUUCAGCCUUGUCUGACC